This 818-nucleotide unclassified non-coding RNA is filed under the name Hevea brasiliensis (rubber tree). Lineage: Eukaryota; Viridiplantae; Streptophyta; Magnoliopsida; Malpighiales; Euphorbiaceae. The record is from RNAcentral.
GUCGAAAAGUGUCCAAAUACGUGUUAAUGUUUAAUGUAUCAUGUUGAUAUUCCUUAUUUCUCGGCUGUGAAGACUGCCAAAUACUGCACCAUUAGCAAUGUUGAACAAUAACUCCAAGACAAUUCUUUAUGAAAGAGUCUUUACCCUUUGUAUUUACUUCCCAUUCACUUCGACAGCCCUUUUCAUACACAAUUUUGCAAACUAAAAACCAAGACAACAGAACUAACUUAAAUACGCCGAUAAAAAAAUUACAAAAAAAACAAAGACCUAACUUUUCCAGCACAAGAAAAGGAUUUCAAAACCCCCAACUUUUGGGAGCAUCUCCACGCCGAGCCAUGCCUUGCAGCCCUGCUUCAAGUCCGGGUGAUGCCCUGUAGUUGGACUGAUAGGCACCAAAGUUAUGGGAGCCAGGGGUGGGAACCGUCCGAGGGCCCUGCUGCCAUGAAGGGGCAGUAUGCUGCGGGCCAUGAAUCACAUUCAUUUGGGGUGGUCGCAAGGACACGGGUUGUGAAGCCAUUUGAGGGGUUGUGAUCUGCUGCAUCAUAUGGGCACGUAAAAUUGGCGGCUGUACGUCAUGCAUAUGUACUGGCUGAAGCUGUGGUUUAUUUUCUUCUGGAUGCCAUUCAGGCAUGUCAUCAUCGUCAUCAUUCCAUGGCCGCACUGCAACCCCUAUAGUUCUAUUAUCCUGCCAAUUCCCUGAAGGGGCACUAGUUUUAGGAAGUCCAUAUCUUUGUACAAGCUCCCUCAUUUGAUCUACAGGGCGAGAUGGUGUUUGUAAGUGUGGUUGAAAGGGGGGCAUCCCUUGCCCCCGAGUAACA